CACUGAGUGAGCAGCCAGACAAAACAGCACACAGCUCCACUUAUACAAAACACCACAACAGGCACACACUAGAGACAUGGUGUAUGUGAGUGACUGGUGGGAGUAGGUGUUGGGGAUAGACCAUUAAGAGUUCAAGGUUUCUUUUUUCGGAUGAUGAAAAGACACUAGAUGUUAAGAUGAAUGCCUGAACACUAAAACUACUGUUAACUCUAUCUGAGUAUAUUUUCUGAGCUAUGACUCUUAUCUCAAUAGAGAGAAGGAUCAUGAGAAGGAUCUAGAGGAGAGGGAACAUUCCAAAGGAAGAAAAGGAAAGUGGAAAAACUAGCCUGGCCUCAAAGACUAGCAAUAUGCACAGAUGAUGAAUUUAGAUGUGUCCAACCAAGUGCAUGGGGACAGGGUGGGUACAGACCACACAGGAGCCGUGUGCUUUACACAGGAGACUGCAGCCACGUGGACUUUAUUCUAACAGUAUCACUGAAACCAGGGAAACGUGGUGGUGCGUGCUGUUGGGUAGAGAGGAAGUAGGCAACAAGAGCAGAAAGAGGAGACGUAUCUGGAGCUUCUGCAGCAGUACAGACAAGAGUGCAAUUUUGGACUUGCGAGCUUGGUGGUGGUGGUGAGCAAUGGUCAAAUAAAUGUCAAAGGGAUUUCCCAGCGAAUCACACACAGGGCAUAAAAGAGAGGUUGAGACUGACCCCAAAAUUUGUCUGAAUGAAGGAGUAUAUGAAACAGCUAUCUACUAAAACGGGGAAGCCUCAGGAAAGAGUGCAGGAGGGAAGCGGGGGCUCUCACAUUUGGGGUGCCCGAUGCUGUAGACACAAGCAAGGCUUUAGAGUAUGAAGGUCCAACUGGCAUGCAUAUCCAAGGCCAUGUGGGAGACAUUUAAUGGCCCCUGGAGAUAGCGAGUCAAAGGACAAAGUCCUGGGCAUGCCAACACACGGAUUCUUAGAAGAUUGGACACAAAGUGUGCCCCUGGUAGAGAGCAGCCUAUUAGAAGAAAAAGUCCUAACCAUACUUCCCCUGCUCCCCACAAUUUCCUCUUAGAUUUAAAAAAUCUAACCAAAUGGAAAUGAAGAUGACUAUGCUCAGUGAAAUAAGCUACCUGGAUAUUCCAUGUUUUCUCUUUCUAGACUUAAGCAGAGGGAAGAUAGAGACCACAGGAGGAGGAAAAUGGGGUGAGUGAAUAAAAACAAGGCAGAAUGGUACAGCCCAUGGAAAUGUCCAAAAAGACCUAUUUCCAUGCAUGCUAACCAAAAAGUUAACAAGGACAUUAAAGAUACAGUCAAAAAAUAAAAAAUCAUGAGACACAAUUAAUUAUAGAACUGUUUAAAAUUCUAAAAGAUUAGAAAUAAUCUGAAUGUUAGCAUUAGUGGGGGCUAUGAUAAACAACAGUCCACCUGCAACAAAAUAGAGGGACUAAACCCACACUGCCCAGUGAAGGCUUUGCUAAGAGCAGUGGCACAGCCAACUUCCACCAGAAGCUGAUGCAUAGAAGGACCUGUCUAUGCACUUGUAGGUUAUCUCUGAGUCGACAUGCAACCCAUUACUAAAUAUCAAGGCAUCCGAAAUGGCUGAUUCAUUAUGGUACAACUAAAAAGCCACAAGAUGCCACAUCUCUAAACAACAAUGUAAACAUAAAAAUGUUCACUGUAAAGCCUGGCAGAGGUAGCACAGGACUUUAAUCCCAGAACUGGGAGGCAGAAGCAGGCAGGUGGAUCUGAGUUCGAGGCCAGCCUGGUCUACAAAGUGAGUUUCAGGAUAGCCAGGGUCACACAAAAAAACCUUGUCUCAAAAUAAACAACAAACAAGCAAACAAUGUUAAUGGUAAAUGAAGGUUAGGAGGGCUGUAUAUUUUACUCACUAUCUCUUGGGUGGGUAAGAAAUAUACAUCCAUAAGAGCCUGGAAAGACACACAAAAUGUUUCUGCUAUACAUUGCAGGGAAGAAACUUGGGCUUUUCUUUUGCUGUCUGGUUCUCCUAAAUUAGUUUUAUAGCAAACAUGUGUGGCUUCUGUUCCUGAACAUAGUAAAUGAUACUUUGGGGUGAAAGGAAGAAUGUAUAAAAAUCCAAAGCUAUGUAUUUUCCAUUUUUCCGUCUCAGCUGGCAUGGGGACAUACUGGUGAUCCCAGCAGCACAGAGCUAGAGGAAGGCAGUGUGUCCCAAUUGCAAGGCUAAUCCAGGCUACAUAACAAGAUCUUGUCUCAAAACAAAACCAGUCUAUGUGUAGGAAAAAAAAAGGGGGGGGGGCCUCUUUAAUCUAGUAAUAAAGAUGUUUGUAAAAUAAAUAUAAAAUGGGUAGAAACAUUGUUUUAUUGGGGAAACAUGUAAUUUACUUUCAGUUUUUAAGAAUACCUAGCAAGCAUCCAAGAAGAAAGCACACAUAGUUUCAAAGGAACAAGGACAGACAAAUGGGCUGGUGGCCACCCCAGGGACACUGCCUUGAAAAGUAAGUAAGGUGAGUGUCAUAAAUAAGACUUUCUUACUUUAUAAGAAGGAAAAAUCAAGAUCCUGUUUUGAUGUGUAUUAAAUACAAAAUAUAAAAUACUCUCUGACCCAGACGAGGGGUGGAAAAUCAUCCAUCCAACACCUCUAGGCUCAUGCAAUAAAAUCCAGAGGUCUGUUGAAUCCGCCUUUUCGAUUC
Molecule: long non-coding RNA, 2641 nt
Organism: Rattus norvegicus (Norway rat)
Lineage: Eukaryota; Metazoa; Chordata; Mammalia; Rodentia; Muridae
Source: RefSeq, a predicted model, not a curated record